This is a long non-coding RNA of Oreochromis aureus, 861 nucleotides long. NCBI's taxonomy places the organism in Eukaryota, Metazoa, Chordata, Actinopteri, Cichliformes, Cichlidae. The record is from Ensembl.
GGGUGAGAGAGCGCUUUUUUGUUGUUGUUGUUGUGCUAAGCUAAAAGGCAGAAUGCUACAGGCAUGAUUCCCUAAAGAAUGUAGCCUCAUGGGCAGUGUAGUCCGUGCUGCAGCGAGAAUGGGCUGCCAUACUCGUUAUGUGUCUGUGAGCGAGGGAGGGAGAGAAAGGAAAAGUCCGAGCUGUCACGGAGCAAAAACGGGAGCUGGAAGCAUGUAAAUAUAAUAAUAACCACUGCAGCCAAGAAGAGUGCCUGACGAGCCCAGCUGCUGUCGGAGUGAAUGAGGCCCAGAGGAGCUCUAUCAAUUAGCAGCUUGUGUUCAGCACUCUGCAGCAAUCCUGCUAUGACAGGAGUGAUCAAUCUACAGUCCACACACACUGUCCCGCACAACAGAAACAGCCAGCAGUCAGUGAAAAGCAGACAUUGCUGGAAACAUACCGAGCCACCAGUGAUUGGGCUCCAACACCUUACUGGUCGAACUGCUAACUGUUUUAGAGCUGCUGUGGAUUUCUAAAUUGUGACAAAGCUCAAAACACAGACGGAGGAACAAAACAGCAACACAUCUGCUCAGACUGCCGGACUUCCUGUAUGAACUCUGAAACUCCAGUGAAAAGUCAAGCUUAUUUUCUCCAAAGCUCAGGUGGAACGUGGUAGAGUGAACAUGCAGACUGAAAGCUGUGUUCACAGACACAGCAUCUCACUCAAUGUUUGCGCUUCCCCUACCCUCCUGUAUCACUUAGCAGUCUCAUUAUCUUAUUUGUUGCGAUUUAGAGUCUGUCUCCGCAGGGAGAGGUUUUUACACUGGAUGUGACUGUGACCUCAUUUUCAGAGGCUACUCUAACUUUUGGUAGGGGAGAAAGGC